AUACGUAGGGUGCAAGCGUUAAUCGGAAUUACUGGGCGUAAAGCGUGCGCAGGCGGUCUUGUAAGACAGUGGUGAAAUCCCCGGGCUCAACCUGGGAACUGCCAUUGUGACUGCAAGGCUGGAGUGCGGCAGAGGGGGAUGGAAUUCCCCGUGUAGCAGUGAAAUGCGUAGAUAUGCGGAGGAACACCGAUGGCGAAGGCAAUCCCCUGGGCCUGCACUGACGCUCAUGCACGAAAGCGUGGGGAGCAAACAGGAUUAGAUACCCUGGUAGUCCACGCCCUAAACGAUGUCAACUGGUUGUUGGGGAUUUAUUUUCUCAGUAACGAAGCUAACGCGUGAAGUUGACCGCCUGGGGAGUACGGCCGCAAGGUUAAAACUCAAAGGAAUUGACGGGG
RNAcentral lists this ribosomal RNA (395 nucleotides) under uncultured bacterium. RNAcentral's name for it is "partial 16S ribosomal RNA". It matches the Rfam family "Bacterial small subunit ribosomal RNA", at positions 523 to 918 of the family's 1533-position model. The record is from RNAcentral.